GCGGUGCUGCGGGGUGCGUCAGGAGAACAUAUCCCCGGGGCCUUAUCGAUCCUAACGGGAGCUGUUCCUUGCCUCGUCCGUGGACUUGGCGACCACGGCGCCCACCUACGUUGUAGGUUUCCCGGGAUCGAUCCUCCAACGGCCAUCGUGGCUCCGCA
This 158-nucleotide non-coding RNA is filed under the name Chelatococcus caeni. RNAcentral describes it as "6S / SsrS RNA". It matches the Rfam family "6S / SsrS RNA". From Rfam's summary of the family: E. coli 6S RNA was the first non coding RNA to be sequenced, but its function was unknown until recently. The record is from RNAcentral. Lineage: Bacteria; Pseudomonadati; Pseudomonadota; Alphaproteobacteria; Hyphomicrobiales; Chelatococcaceae.